GGUGCUUCCUUUAGUGGUACCGUCAGUCAUGUGGUAUUAGCACAUUGACGGUUCUUCCCACUUGACAGGGCUUUACGACUCGAAAGCCUUCAUCACCCACGCGGCGUCGCUGCGUCAGGGUUUCCCCCAUUGCGCAAAAUUCCUCACUGCUGCCUCCCGUAGGAGUCUGGUCCGUGUUCCAGUUCCAGUGUGGCGGAUCAUCCUCUCAGACCCGCUAACCAUCGUCGCCUAGGUAGGCCAUUACCCCACCUACUAGCUAAUGGUACGCAGACUCAUCCUUAUACGAUAGCUUAUGUCAGAGGCCAUCUUUCCUCUCCUGUCCUCGCGAACAGAAAAGCGUAUACGGUAUUAGCUGAGCUUUCGCUCAGUUAUUCCAUAUAUAAGGGUAGAUUACCUACGCGUUACUCACCCGUGCGCCACUUUACUCAAGCUCCCGAAGGAACUCUUUCUCGUUCGACUUGCAUGUGUUAAGCACGCCGCCAGCGUUCGUUCUGAGCCAUGAUCAAACUCUAAUCGAAUUCCCGCGGCCGCCAUGGCGGCCGGGAGCAUGCGACGUCGGGCCCAAUUCGCCCUAUAGUGAGUCGUAUACAU
Molecule: ribosomal RNA, 591 nt
Filed under: uncultured delta proteobacterium
Lineage: Bacteria; Deltaproteobacteria
Description: partial 16S ribosomal RNA
Source: RNAcentral